AUAAGUUUCUGAAGCUGUUUAGAUUCAUCAUAUAAUAAGCAGAAUGAACAUGAAAGCGUGUCAUAGUACUGAAGGGAUUAACAGAGGAAAAAAAUGAAAAGAGAAAGAAUUAGGUAAGCAAGAAAUGGAACAGAAGACAUAGCAAAAUACAACAUUAAGAAGACUCAAUAGAUUGCAGAAUCUAACGACGAAAGUGGGAGCCUAUAUAAAGACAAUCCCACACCUACUACUAGACCGGACUGUAGGACAAAAAAAAAUAAAAAAGUAUUUCCUAAGGCUUACAUAGGAGAGAGGUUAGUUCCCCGUGGCAUUAUUUAGAGAAUGCAUUGGACGCGUGAAAGAAAACGAGACGGGGGUAGUGGUAGUGGUGGUGGUGGAGGAAGCUCUACGUCAUGUGAAGGACUCGAACCUUCUAUUGUUAGGGAGCGUGUGGCUUGGCCUGAAUAUUGCUUGGAGAGCCAGGUGGACACAUGACAAGACUAUAUGUGGUAAUGUACUCACUUUACUUUACUUUUAUUAAGUUCUCUCUCUCUCUCUCUCUCUCUCUCUCUCUCUCUCUCUCUCUCUCUCUCUCUCUCUCUCUCUGAAUGCUUUUAUUGGCUCGUGACGCUUUGGAAAAAUCAUCACGGAGUCAGAAACAGUCAUGCGAACAGUUUUCCUAAGUCUCCCUCCCCUUCUUCUUGUGGCCGUUUACAAUAGUAAGGCAUUGUGGGUCCUGUGGAAGUUGUAGUGUCUAUAGAUCACGUGUCACAGACGUCCAAUCAGAGCCAGCCAUGCCGGUAGUUACUUAAAUGACGUAGCACGGCAAAACUAAUCACGGACGUUCGACAAUAGGGCGUCCAAUGAAAGCUCGCUAUGAUGGGAUUUCCUUAUAGUAUUGCAUUUGUUUCUCUGGAGAGAGGAUGGACCGCGUCAUAUUCUACCAUUUGCCUGCCUGCAUCCACCAUGGACGUACGGUGCUCUGACUGUGAUCUAAGGAGUUUUGAGUUCUAUCACCGCCACACAGGAAACUCAAGAGACCUGUUCGACUUGCGUGUGCAGCGUGGGUUGAUUUUGCUUCCCAGAAUCUCUCCUUCCUGACGUGAAAUUCCCAUCUUAAGAUAAUGAGUUUGGGGAUUCACGUCAUCGUUGAAACCGUCAAAGGUGGACAACUAUCCUGCUCCUACCCCAAGUAGUGCGCCGCGCCUACCAGCGUCUUCAUUUCUGCGCUUGUAAACCUUUACCUUUGGACACCACAGGGUCAGGACUCAGGACGUGAGGGGAGGGGGAUCCCCGGCCAGCCAUACAACAAGUUGGCCUUGGCUGACGGUCCGCUGCCAUUUGGAUUAUAGAGUAGCUAUUGCCGAGAAACAACAAGGGCCAGCAGCAAAAACAAUUAUCGUGGCGGACAGGGGAAAAAAAUAACGGAAACUCCUCAAAAUACAUUACUGUCCGAGUGAAUUAAUGAAUGAAUAGUGAACACUGGCCACAUUACAUUUAUUAGAGGCUUUGUACAAUUGAUUUAUACAUGAUUUAUACAUUUAUUAAACCCUCAUUUCUUUCCAGAUUGAAAUUGUCCAUAACUCUCUCCACAAGAUUCCUGAUGGUGGUGAUGGUGGUGAUACGGAAAGCAGGAAGAAAGAAGUGACAAGUUUGAAGUUUGAAGACGCAAGCCAAAUCCAGGAGAGGAGCAAGUGAACAGCAAGCAAUUAA
This 1692-nucleotide long non-coding RNA is filed under the name Portunus trituberculatus (swimming crab). Its description in RNAcentral is "uncharacterized LOC123504263, transcript variant X2". Lineage: Eukaryota; Metazoa; Arthropoda; Malacostraca; Decapoda; Portunidae. The record is from RNAcentral.